This 256-nucleotide ribosomal RNA is filed under the name uncultured bacterium. RNAcentral's name for it is "partial 16S ribosomal RNA". It matches the Rfam family "Bacterial small subunit ribosomal RNA", at positions 521 to 776 of the family's 1533-position model. The record is from RNAcentral.
UAAUACGUAUGGGGCGAGCGUUGUUCGGAAUUAUUGGGCGUAAAGGGCGUCUAGGCGGGGAUUUAAGUUAGGUGUGAAAGCUAUGGGCUCAACCCAUAAACUGCACCUAAAACUGAAUCUCUUGAGUUCGGGAGAGGAGAGCGGAAUUCCAGGUGUAGCGGUGAAAUGCGUAGAUAUCUGGAAGAACACCAGUGGCGAAGGCGGCUCUCUGGCCUAGAACUGACGCUGAAGCGCGAAAGCGUGGGGAGCGAACAGG